Molecule: ribosomal RNA, 830 nt
Filed under: uncultured bacterium
Lineage: Bacteria
Description: bacterial SSU rRNA
Rfam family: Bacterial small subunit ribosomal RNA
Source: RNAcentral
UCGAUUAGAGUUUGAUCCUGGCUCAGGACGAACGCUGGCGGCGUGCUUAACACAUGCAAGUCGAACGAUGAUCUCUGGUCUUCGGGCCGGGGUGAUUAGUGGCGAACGGGUGAGUAACACGUGAGUAACCUGCCCUGGAUUUCGGGAUAACUGUUGGAAACGGCGGCUAAUACCGGGUGUGCACUUCUUGUCGCAUGGCGGGGGGUGGAUAGGUUUUUUCUGGUCUGGGAUGGGCUCGCGGCCUAUCAGUUUGUUGGUGGGGUGAUGGCCUACCAAGGCGUUGACGGGUAGCCGGCCUGAGAGGGCGACCGGCCACACUGGGACUGAGAUACGGCCCAGACUCUUACGGGAGGCAGCAGUGGGGGAUAUUGCACAAUGGGCGAAAGCCUGAUGCAGCGACGCCGCGUGGGGGAUGGAGGCCUUCGGGUUGUGAACCCCUUUCGUCGGGGAAGAAGCGAGAGUGACGGUACCCGGGGAAGAAGCGCCGGCUAACUACGUGCCAGCAGCCGCGGUGAUACGUAGGGCGCGAGCGUUGUCCGGAAUUAUUGGGCGUAAAGGGCUCGUAGGCGGCUGGUCGCGUCUGCUGUGAAAUUCCUUGGCUUAACCAGGGGCUUGCAGUGGGUACGGGCUGGCUGGAGUGCGGUAGGGGAGACUGGAAUUCCUGGUGUAGCGGUGGAAUGCGCAGAUAUCAUGAGGAACACCGAUGGCGAAGCAGGUCUCUGGGCCGUCACUGACGCUGAGGAGCGAAAGCGUGGGGAGCGAACAGGAUUAGAUACCCUGGUAGUCCAUGCUGUAAACGUUGGGCACUAGAUGUGGGGGCUGUUUUGGCU